Transfer RNA from Lysobacter antibioticus, 84 nucleotides. It matches the Rfam family "tRNA". Rfam says of the family: Transfer RNA (tRNA) molecules are approximately 80 nucleotides in length. Their secondary structure includes four short double-helical elements and three loops (D, anti-codon, and T loops). The record is from Rfam. NCBI's taxonomy places the organism in Bacteria, Pseudomonadati, Pseudomonadota, Gammaproteobacteria, Lysobacterales, Lysobacteraceae.
GCCGGAGUGGCGGAAUCGGUAGACGCAGCGGACUCAAAAUCCGCCGCCCUUAAAAGCGUGUGGGUUCGAGUCCCACCUCCGGCA